UACAGAGGGGGCAAGCGUUGUUCGGAAUUACUGGGCGUAAAGGGCGCGUAGGCGGCCUUCUAAGUCGAACGUGAAAUCCCCGGGCUCAACCCGGGAACUGCGUCCGAUACUGGAAGGCUUGAAUCCGGGAGAGGGAUGUGGAAUUCCAGGUGUAGCGGUGAAAUGCGUAGAUAUCGAGAGGAACACCUGCGGCGAAGGCGGGUUGCUGGGCUGACACUGACGCUGAACUGCGAAAGCUAGGGGAGCGAACGGG
Molecule: ribosomal RNA, 253 nt
Filed under: uncultured bacterium
Lineage: Bacteria
Description: partial 16S ribosomal RNA
Rfam family: Bacterial small subunit ribosomal RNA
Source: RNAcentral